Molecule: long non-coding RNA, 439 nt
Filed under: Danio rerio (zebrafish)
Lineage: Eukaryota; Metazoa; Chordata; Actinopteri; Cypriniformes; Danionidae
Description: si:ch73-233k15.3 (ENSDARG00000096250.2)
Source: RNAcentral
UCCUUUAAAACGCUGAGUUUGACAGAAAAGUGUGGCGUACAUUUUGCUCAUAAUCGACUACAACGUGACAAUGAAGAUUGAGGAUGUUUCAUCUUUACAUCGUGGCAGAUGGUAAAUGAUGGCAAGUCCACAUUUGUUUCAGAGCAGAGACAGCGUUGCAGAUGGACAAGAGCGUAAAAGCUUUAUUAAGCAUCCAACCUCAUGUUUCUGCAUAUUGUGCAGCAGUGGGGGUCAGCUUAAUCAAUUUAGUCAACUAAAACAAAACAGGACAGCAGGAAGGAUAAAACUGGAAACUGCGAAGUGUUAUUUAUCCUGAAAAGCCAUUCUUGGUGUCAUGCAGUACUAUAAACAAGCUGUAUCAUUCUCCCCAUGAAACACUUUUACAAUCACGCUGCACACCCGUAAAGAUAUCCUCUCUCUCGCAGCAUCAAUGAGAUUA